GAGUUUGAUCCUGGCUCAGGACGAACGCUGGCGGCGUGCUUAACACAUGCAAGUCGAACGGAAAGGCCCUGCUUGCAGGGUACUCGAGUGGCGAACGGGUGAGUAACACGUGGGUGAUCUGCCCUGCACUUCGGGAUAAGCCUGGGAAACUGGGUUUAAUACCGGAUAGGACCAUCGUUUAGUGUCGGUGGUGGAAAGUUUUUCGGUGCAGGAUGAGCUCGCGGCCUAUCAGCUUGUUGGUGGGGUAAUGGCCUACCAAGGCGUUGACGGGUAGCCGGCCUGAGAGGGUGGACGGCCACAUUGGGACUGAGACACGGCCCAGACUCCUACGGGAGGCAGCAGUGGGGAAUAUUGCACAAUGGGCGCAAGCCUGAUGCAGCGACGCCGCGUGGGGGAUGAAGGCCUUCGGGUUGUAAACUCCUUUCCAACCAUGACGAAGCAUUAUGUGACGGUAGUGGAGAAGAUGAC
Molecule: ribosomal RNA, 468 nt
Filed under: uncultured Corynebacterium sp.
Lineage: Bacteria; Bacillati; Actinomycetota; Actinomycetes; Mycobacteriales; Corynebacteriaceae
Description: bacterial SSU rRNA
Rfam family: Bacterial small subunit ribosomal RNA
Source: RNAcentral